Molecule: ribosomal RNA, 506 nt
Filed under: uncultured bacterium
Lineage: Bacteria
Description: partial 16S ribosomal RNA
Rfam family: Bacterial small subunit ribosomal RNA
Source: RNAcentral
GAUGAACGCUAGCUACAGGCUUAACACAUGCAAGUCGAGGGGUAACGAGAGGGAAGCUUGCUUUCCUUGUCGACGACCGGCGCACGGGUGAGUAACGCGUAUCCAACCUGCCCCCAACUAGGGAAUAACCUUGCGAAAGUAAGACUAAUACCCUAUAAUUUCCUGAGAUGUCAUCUGACGAGGAAUAAAGAUUUAUCGGUUGUGGAUGGGGAUGCGUCUGAUUAGCUUGUUGGCGGGGUAACGGCCCAACAAGGCAACGAUCAGUAGGGGUUCUGAGAGGAAGGUCCCCCACAUUGGAACUGAGACACGGUCCAAACUCCUACGGGAGGCAGCAGUGAGGAAUAUUGGUCAAUGGGCGGAAGCCUGAACCAGCCAAGUAGCGUGCAGGAUGACGGCCCUAUGGGUUGUAAACUGCUUUUAUACAGGAAUAAAGUUAGCCACGUGUGGUUAUUUGUAGGUACUGUAUGAAUAAGGACCGGCUAAUUCCGUGCCAGCCGCCGCGGUAA